RNAcentral lists this long non-coding RNA (1788 nucleotides) under Solanum lycopersicum (tomato). RNAcentral describes it as "partial TCONS_00011125". The record is from RNAcentral. Lineage: Eukaryota; Viridiplantae; Streptophyta; Magnoliopsida; Solanales; Solanaceae.
CUCCCCCUCUCCCAAACCCCCUCCCUCGCGCGAACCCAACGUGAGCCAAUCGCGUACGCUUCUCUCUCCCUCGCGCAGAAACCCCCUAGACGCAAACGCAGGAGAGACAGAACCUCCCAGACGCGAAAUUAAUUCCCCAGAAAUCGUCAAAAUUCCCAAAACUCACGCGCAAGGAGUUCUCAGAAGAUGCCCAGCCUGGUUUGUCUUCUUCUUCGCGUGUCCCCGACGUCGCGCGUCUCCUUCCCUCUCUCUUCGCGCUCGUACGAGCGCACAGUGGAACAGUAGCCGUCCUCGCCUCAACAGCCUGGAAUCGUCCUGCUCGUCCUUGCAACAACGAGAUGAUGACACGAAGCGCGCAAGGACAACGAACGCAUCCCGACCCUCCACCUCGCCAUCAACCCGUUUGAAUGGGAUAUUCUGAAGCAUCUAAUCGGUACAUUCCAAAAUUUCGGAUAAGAUUUUGGGAUUUUUGAAUUUCGAAUUAGCAGAUGGGCCGAAAAUUCCCUCAAGCCCUUUUACCUUUCGAAAACCUAGCCUCCCUCUAUAAAUAUCCUCUCCCUCAAACGUUGAGGGGGUUGAAAAUUUUGGAAGUCGAAUUUUUGUUUGGAUUUUUUUCUUGUAUCACAGCAGGUCCUUUCCUUUCUGGAAAUUUUGGUUGUUUCUAAGUUCAUAUCGUAUAACAAAGCAAGUGUCCCGUCUCUCUUUUUUCGAAUUUUCUAUCGAGCUUCGAACGUGGAGAUAUUUGGAUCUACACAGUCUCUUUGCUUUUCAUCGCAUCUGUACUGCUCAUUGGAGCUCUUAAACUCGCGUCGUGGUGGAAGUCAUUGUUGAAGUCGCUGCUCGUAGCCGUUCCAGUAUCGCUGCCCAGGAAAAGGUAUACAACUUCGCUCCUCUUAGUUUUGUUUGGUUUUCUACUUGUUCGAGUAUGUAGUGGUUCGUUCAGUUGGUUAUGUCGUGCUGAUAGUUUUCUGAAGGAUGAUGGUUCUUUGUGUUUUAAGGCUGUUGGUUAGUUGUCUAUGGAAUAGGAGAUAAGCAUGUACGUGCAGUCAAUGUAUGUCUCGAGUUUACUUCCUAGUUCGAAUCUUAUUGUUCUUGGUAUAUUUUGGGUUUCAUAGCUACAUUCGGUAUAGUUUUUUUUAGAUCAUUCUUUCAUCUUGAUUUAUUUUUAUUCAUUGUGGUUCUUCAAUAUUGUUUGAUAUUCGGCAUCGUAUCGUUAUUUCUUUCGCCUCGAGUUUAAUGAGCGAACUAAGAUGCCAACAUUCUGAAUCUAAGCGACUGCAUCUGCUAUCGUUUUGAGUUCCCAUAUCGCAUAUUAUUGUUCAUGUUGGUACUUUGGGUUAGGCUGUCCUAUAGGGUUUGCUCGAUAAUGGUAUUACCUUCUGUUUGAUCUCUUAAUGUUGUAAAGUUGAGUUUCUUUCCGUUGAUUUAGAUUUCAUUUGUUUAUCCAUCAAGCCUUCAAAUAGGCCUUUGUCAGUAUGUUUUGUGGUUUCUCUGAACUUGUCGGUUAAGAAAGUAUGUUUGUUCAUAUGUGUUCUGUAUCUAUGUUAUAUAGUAAUUUCCUCGUUUUAUUUCUUCCAUAUGACAAAUGAGUCAGUUUGCUUAUUCGGAAUCUCGUUUAGAGUCCUGUUUGGUCCCAUUUCUGUUGUGCUCGCUAUCAUUCUUUAUGUUGGAGCUUUGGUAGUCUGUGUUGUUUCUUGCAACUACUCAUUACGGAAUACCAACUAGGCUUGUUCAAUGCCUUGUUUGGCUCCUGUGAGUUUGGCGUUUAUCGCUUUCAAAUUAUAAGUG